This 286-nucleotide unclassified non-coding RNA is filed under the name Hevea brasiliensis (rubber tree). Lineage: Eukaryota; Viridiplantae; Streptophyta; Magnoliopsida; Malpighiales; Euphorbiaceae. The record is from RNAcentral.
CCAAAUCGUCCUGAGUACAACAGUCUAUUUAAACUUGCAGAUCUUAAAUAUGAGUUCUAAACCAAGAACUGUCCAUACAAGAGUAUCCUUGAAACAGUCACAGAAAUGGAACAUCUUAUAAUAGCAAGGAACUCUAUGGCUCCAUUUCCAACGGUAAAAUAUGCCAAACACAAAAGGGCAAGAGGAGUUAUCCAGGGCGGAUUUCUGCAAUUUGAAUUCUAUAGUCUUGUCAUUUCUAAUAACCAAACGGUUCAUUAGAGUUGAAAAGUAGUAUUUACCGGGAGAA